Molecule: ribosomal RNA, 506 nt
Filed under: uncultured bacterium
Lineage: Bacteria
Description: partial 16S ribosomal RNA
Rfam family: Bacterial small subunit ribosomal RNA
Source: RNAcentral
GAUGAACGCUAGCUACAGGCUUAACACAUGCAAGUCGAGGGGUAACAAGAGGAAAGCUUGCUUUUCUUGUUGACGACCGACGCACGGGGGAGUAACGCGUAUCCAACCUGCCUAUAACUAGGGAAUAACCUUGCGAAAGUAAGACUAAUACCCUAUGAUUUCCUUUGAUGACAUCAGAUUAGGAAUAAAGAUUUAUCGGUUAUAGAUGGGGAUGCGUCUGAUUAGCUUGUUGGCGGGGUAACGGCCCACCAAGGCAACGAUCAGUAGGGGUUCUGAGAGGAAGGUCCCCCACAUUGGAACUGAGACACGGUCCAAACUCCUACGGGAGGCAGCAGUGAGGAAUAUUGGUCAAUGGGCGGAAGCCUGAACCAGCCAAGUAGCGUGCAGGAUGACGGCCCUAUGGGUUGUAAACUGCUUUUAUACAGGAAUAAAGUUAGCCACGUGUGGUUAUUUGUAGGUACUGUAUGAAUAAGGACCGGCUAAUUCCGUGCCAGCCGCCGCGGUAA